RNAcentral lists this ribosomal RNA (579 nucleotides) under uncultured bacterium. RNAcentral's name for it is "partial 16S ribosomal RNA". It matches the Rfam family "Bacterial small subunit ribosomal RNA", at positions 355 to 932 of the family's 1533-position model. The record is from RNAcentral.
UGGGGAAUUUUGGACAAUGGGCGAAAGCCUGAUCCAGCAAUGCCGCGUGUGUGAAGAAGGCCUUCGGGUUGUAAAGCACUUUUGUCCGGAAAGAAAUCCUUGGCUCUAAUACAGUCGGGGGAUGACGGUACCGGAAGAAUAAGCACCGGCUAACUACGUGCCAGCAGCCGCGGUAAUACGUAGGGUGCAAGCGUUAAUCGGAAUUACUGGGCGUAAAGCGUGCGCAGGCGGUUUGCUAAGACCGAUGUGAAAUCCCCGGGCUCAACCUGGGAACUGCAUUGGUGACUGGCAGGCUAGAGUAUGGCAGAGGGGGGUAGAAUUCCACGUGUAGCAGUGAAAUGCGUAGAGAUGUGGAGGAAUACCGAUGGCGAAGGCAGCCCCCUGGGCCAAUACUGACGCUCAUGCACGAAAGCGUGGGGAGCAAACAGGAUUAGAUACCCUGGUAGUCCAGCGCCCUAAACGAUGUCAACUAGUUGUUGGGGAUUCAUUCCUUAGUAACGUAGCUAACGCGUGAAGUUGACCGCCUGGGGAGUACGGUCGCAAGAUUAAAACUCAAAUGAAUUGACGGGGUCAUAGCUG